CGGGUUCUCUUAAAGACUGGACAUGUUGGCUGGGGUUCCUGUCUUGUUCAUCUCUAAACUUAGCCUUUCUGAGGUUGCAGGACAGUGAUGAUGGCUGGGUCCAGAGUCGCAGCCUCCUCCCUCUCAGAAGCUACCCAUUCUGUUAAGAGGCCACAGACAACCACGUUCCUAAUUGUGCAUCCCUCCUUGGGCUUCAGCUCCACUGGCAGAGAGCAGAGAAGAGGAGAAAAGAAGAAACAGCUGAAUGUCGGAGAGAAGCAGAUUGAUUUCAGAGAGACGGCUUGAUGGCGUGACUUCAGAGUUCAGUCCAGCCAGAAAUGACUGUUCUUCACGGGAAGAAUACUUUCCCGCUCCCUCCCCUUUCCAACUCCCCUUCCCACUGAGUGCCACCUCCAUGGGCAAUAAAGUCCUCUGCAUUCACCACCCUUCAAU
This 432-nucleotide long non-coding RNA is filed under the name Homo sapiens (human). Its description in RNAcentral is "HSALNT0044756". The record is from RNAcentral. Lineage: Eukaryota; Metazoa; Chordata; Mammalia; Primates; Hominidae.